AGUGGGGUGGCUGAAGGGAUGUUAGGUGAUAGACUGUAAAUCUAUUUAUGAGUCAUUUGGGACUCCCUCACUA
Molecule: transfer RNA, 73 nt
Filed under: Serritermes serrifer
Lineage: Eukaryota; Metazoa; Arthropoda; Insecta; Blattodea; Serritermitidae
Description: tRNA-Tyr
Source: RNAcentral